UACGAAGGGGGGCUAGCGUUGCUCGGAAUCACUGGGCGUAAAGGGUGCGUAGGCGGGUCUUUUAAGUCAGGGGGUGAAAUCCUGGAGCUCAACUCCAGAACUGCCUUUGAUACUGAAGAUCUUGAGUUCGGGGAGAGGUGAGUGGAACUGCGAGUGUAGAGGUGAAAUUCGUAGAUAUUCGCAAGAACACCAGUGGCGAAGGCGGCUCACUGGCCCGAUACUGACGCUGAGGCACGAAAGCGUGGGGAGCAAACAGG
RNAcentral lists this ribosomal RNA (257 nucleotides) under uncultured bacterium. Its description in RNAcentral is "partial 16S ribosomal RNA". It matches the Rfam family "Bacterial small subunit ribosomal RNA", at positions 524 to 776 of the family's 1533-position model. The record is from RNAcentral.